Molecule: small nuclear RNA, 326 nt
Filed under: Myotis davidii
Lineage: Eukaryota; Metazoa; Chordata; Mammalia; Chiroptera; Vespertilionidae
Description: 7SK RNA
Rfam family: 7SK RNA
About the family: 7SK was discovered as an abundant small nuclear RNA in the mid-70s but a possible function has only recently been suggested. Two independent studies have found that 7SK RNA binds the CDK9/cyclin T complex (known as elongation factor P-TEFb). P-TEFb activates transcription by phosphorylating the C-terminal domain of RNA polymerase II.
Source: Rfam by way of RNAcentral
AGCUGUGAAGGGCAAUCUGGCUGCGACAUCUGCACCCCAUUGAUCGCCAGGGUUGAUUUGGCUGAUCUGGCUGGCUAGGCGGGUGUCCCCCUCCUCCCUCACCGAUCCAUGUGCGUCCCUCCCGAAGCUGCGCUCUGGGUCGAAGAGCAUGACCUUCCCCCAGAGGAGAGGACCGGUCUUAGAUCAAGGUUAGUAGCUGUGCUCCCCUGCUAGAACCUCCAAACAAGCUCUCAAGGUCCAUUUGUAGGAGAGUGUAGGGUAGUCAAGUUUCCAAAACUCCAGACACAUCCAAAUGAGGCACUACAUGUGGCAGUCUGUCUUUCUAG